GGAGGAAAAUAAAUGGAAACAAUAGGAAGCAUUAUUUAUUU
This 41-nucleotide small RNA is filed under the name Staphylococcus aureus. Its description in RNAcentral is "HMPRFS0000_2894". Lineage: Bacteria; Bacillati; Bacillota; Bacilli; Caryophanales; Staphylococcaceae. The record is from RNAcentral.